This 460-nucleotide ribosomal RNA is filed under the name uncultured bacterium. RNAcentral's name for it is "partial 16S ribosomal RNA". It matches the Rfam family "Bacterial small subunit ribosomal RNA", at positions 338 to 795 of the family's 1533-position model. The record is from RNAcentral.
CCUACGGGAGGCAGCAGUGAGGAAUAUUGGUCAAUGGACGCAAGUCUGAACCAGCCAUGCCGCGUGCAGGAAGACGGCUCUAUGAGUUGUAAACUGCUUUUGUACGAGGGUAAACGCAGAUACGCGUAUCUGUCUGCAAGUAUCGUACGAAUAAGGAUCGGCUAACUCCGUGCCAGCAGCCGCAGUAAUACGGAGGAUUCAAGCGUUAUCCGGAUUUAUUGGGUUUAAAGGGUGCGUAGGCGGUCGGAUAAGUUAGAGGUGAAAUCCCGAGGCUCAACUUCGGAAUUGCCUCUGAUACUGUUCGGCUAGAGAGUAGUUGCGGUAGGCGGAAUGUAUGGUGUAGCGGUGAAAUGCUUAGAGAUCAUACAGAACACCGAUUGCGAAGGCAGCUUACCAAGCUACUUCUGACGUUGAGGCACGAAAGCGUGGGGAGCAAACAGGAUUAGAUACCCUUGUAGUC